UCUCUUGGAGCUCUAGAUCACCUCUCUAGUUUUAUUCUCAUCUGAUUAAUCUAGUUCUUGCCAGUUCUUCUUGAACUUCUUGUUAGAUCUCGAGUCUGUAUUUCUGUGUCCGUGACAUGCAUAUUUUAGAAAUGAGUUAUAAUUUUGUAUUUUGGUAAAACUAAAAAUAUCUAUAUCAUUAUACAUAUUUUUAUUUUUUUAGUUUAUAAAAAUAAUUUGAUACAAUAACAACUUCUAAAGUUCUCAUCUUAAUUGCAUUGAGAAUAAGAAAAUUAAAAUAACUUGAAAAUAUAAAAAAAUCA
This 302-nucleotide long non-coding RNA is filed under the name Physcomitrium patens. RNAcentral describes it as "long non-coding RNA (PPAT_LNC015011)". The record is from RNAcentral. Lineage: Eukaryota; Viridiplantae; Streptophyta; Bryopsida; Funariales; Funariaceae.